RNAcentral lists this ribosomal RNA (478 nucleotides) under uncultured bacterium. RNAcentral describes it as "partial 16S ribosomal RNA". It matches the Rfam family "Bacterial small subunit ribosomal RNA", at positions 28 to 523 of the family's 1533-position model. The record is from RNAcentral.
GACGAACGCUGGCGGCAUGCCUAACACAUGCAAGUCGAGCGAGUAGAUCCCUUCGGGGUGAAGCUAGCGGCGGACGGGUGAGUAACACGUGGGCAACCUGCCUCAUAGAGGAGAAUAGCCUUCCGAAAGGAAGAUUAAUACCGCAUAAGAUUGUAGCUUCGCAUGAAGCAGCAAUUAAAGGAGCAAUCCGCUAUGAGAUGGGCCCGCGGCGCAUUAGCUAGUUGGUGAGGUAACGGCUCACCAAGGCGACGAUGCGUAGCCGACCUGAGAGGGUGAUCGGCCACAUUGGGACUGAGACACGGCCCAGACUCCUACGGGAGGCAGCAGUGGGGAAUAUUGCACAAUGGGGGAAACCCUGAUGCAGCAAUGCCGCGUGAGUGAUGACGGCCUACGGGUUGUAAAGCUCUGUCUUCGGGGACGAUAAUGACGGUACCCGAGGAGGAAGCCACGGCUAACUACGUGCCAGCAGCCGCAGUAA